Molecule: ribosomal RNA, 449 nt
Filed under: uncultured bacterium
Lineage: Bacteria
Description: partial 16S ribosomal RNA
Rfam family: Bacterial small subunit ribosomal RNA
Source: RNAcentral
AGCGAACGCUGGCGGCAGGCCUAACACAUGCAAGUCGAACGAACUCUUCGGAGUUAGUGGCGGACGGGUGAGUAACACGUGGGAACGUGCCUUUAGGUUCGGAAUAACUCAGGGAAACUUGUGCUAAUACCGAAUGUGCCCUUCGGGGGAAAGAUUUAUCGCCUUUAGAGCGGCCCGCGUCUGAUUAGCUAGUUGGUGAGGUAAAGGCUCACCAAGGCGACGAUCAGUAGCUGGUCUGAGAGGAUGAUCAGCCACAUUGGGACUGAGACACGGCACAAACUCCUACGGGAGGCAGCAGUGGGGAAUCUUGCGAAAUGGGCGAAAGCUUGACGCAGCCAUGCCGCGUGAAUGAUGAAGGUCUUAGGAUUGUAAAAUUCUUUCACCGGGGACGAUAAUGACGGUACCCGGAGAAGAAGCCCCGGCUAACUUCGUGCCAGCCGCCGCCGUAA